AAGGUCCUAGCUUAAUUAAAGUAUCUGAGUUGCAUUCAGAAGAUGUAGGGUAGUAACCUACGGACUUUA
RNAcentral lists this transfer RNA (69 nucleotides) under Ptilonorhynchus violaceus (satin bowerbird). It matches the Rfam family "tRNA". From Rfam's summary of the family: Transfer RNA (tRNA) molecules are approximately 80 nucleotides in length. Their secondary structure includes four short double-helical elements and three loops (D, anti-codon, and T loops). Lineage: Eukaryota; Metazoa; Chordata; Aves; Passeriformes; Ptilonorhynchidae. RNAcentral also lists the same sequence under 1 other name. The record is from Rfam by way of RNAcentral.